AUUGAACGCUGGCGGCAUGCUUUACACAUGCAAGUCGAACGGCAGCGCGGGCUUCGGCCUGGCGGCGAGUGGCGAACGGGUGAGUAAUGCAUCGGAACGUGCCCAGUAGUGGGGGAUAGCCCGGCGAAAGCCGGAUUAAUACCGCAUACGACCUGAGGGUGAAAGCGGGGGACCGAAAGGCCUCGCGCGAUUGGAGCGGCCGAUGUCGGAUUAGCUAGUUGGUGGGGUAAAGGCUUACCAAGGCGACGAUCCGUAGCUGGUCUGAGAGGACGACCAGCCACACUGGGACUGAGACACGGCCCAGACUCCUACGGGAGGCAGCAGUGGGGAAUUUUGGACCAUGGGGGCAACCCUGAUCCAGCCAUGCCGCGUGCGGGAAGAAGGCCUUCGGGUUGUAAACCGCUUUUGUUCGGGAAGAAAUCCUCUGGGCUAAUACCCCGGGGGGAUGACGGUACCGGAAGAAUAAGCACCGGCUAACUACGUG
This 484-nucleotide ribosomal RNA is filed under the name uncultured bacterium. RNAcentral describes it as "partial 16S ribosomal RNA". It matches the Rfam family "Bacterial small subunit ribosomal RNA", at positions 28 to 507 of the family's 1533-position model. The record is from RNAcentral.